AAUCGAACUCGGAGAUAGCUGGUUCUCCCCGAAAUAGCUUUAGGGCUAGCCUCGAUUUAGAUUACCGGGGGUAGAGCACUGAAUGGGCUAGGGGGCCACAAAGCUUACCGAACCCUAUCAAACUUCGAAUACCGGAUAAUUGAUGAUCGGGAGUCAGACAGUGUGAGAUAAGUUUCAUUGUCGAAAGGGAAACAGCCCAGAUCUACGACUAAGGUCCCAAAGUUCAAGUUAAGUGGAAAAGGAUGUGCAAUUGCGUAGACAACCAGGAUGUUGGCUUAGUAGCAGCCAUUCAUUCAAAGAGUGCGUAAUAGCUCACUGGUCGAGUGAUUGUGCGCCGAAAAUGUAACGGGGCUAAACUUGACACCGAAGUCUAGGCAGAAGGAAACUUCUGGGUAGGGGAGCAACGUGUACGGGCAGAAGCAGAAGCGGAAGCGACUGUGGACUGUACAGGAGAGAGAAUGCCGGCAUGAGUAGCGAGAGCAAAGUGAGAAUCUUUGCCGUCGAAAGCCUAAGGUUUCCUGAGGAAGGCUCGUCCUCUCAGGGUAAGUCGGGACCUAAGCCGAGGACAACAGUCGUAGGCGAUGGACAAUCGGUUAAUAUUCCGAUACCGCCGAGCAACCGGAUGCAGUGACACAGAAGGAUAGGCAGAGCGUGGCGAUGGUAGACCACGUCCAAGCAGUGAGGCUGUUGUGUAGUGAAGUACGCACAACGUAAGGCUGGGCUGUGAUGGGGAACGAUUACGAUCGGUAAGCUGCUGAAUUCACGCUGGCGAGAAAAGCUGCUACGAAGCGAAGGCGCCCGUACCGCAAACCGACACAGGUAGGCGAGGAGAGAAUCCUAAGACGAGCGGGAGAACCCUUGUUAAGGAACUCGGCAAAAUGACUCCGUAACUUAGGGAGAAGGAGUGCCCAGGAAUGGGCCGCAGAGAAUAGACCCAAGCGACUGUUUACCAAAAACACAGGUCUGUGCGAAGUAGAGAUACGACGUAUACGGGCUGACACCUGCCCAGUGCCGGAAGGUUAAGGGGAAAUGUUAGGGCAACCGAAGCAUGGAACUUAAGCCCCGGUGAACGGCGGCCGUAACUAUAACGGUCCUAAGGUAGCGAAAUUCCUUGUCGGGUAAGUUCCGACCCGCACGAAUGGUGUAACGAUUUGGGUACUGUCUCAACAAGGGACCCGGCGAAAUUGUAGUAUGUGUGAAGAUGCACAUUACCCGCGAUAGGACGGAAAGACCCCGUAGAGCUUUACUGUAGUUUAACAUUGGAUUCCGGUAACAUAUGCACAGGAUAGGUGGGAGGCGGAGAAGCAGUGAUUUCGGUUGCUGCAGAGCCGACGUUGGGAUACCACUCUUGUGUUACUGGGGUUCUAACCUGUGGCCGUGAUCCGGCACAGGAACAGUGUUAGAUGGGCAGUUUGACUGGGGCGGUCGCCUCCAAAAGAGUAACGGAGGCGUCCAAAGGUUCCCUCAGAAUGGUUGGAAACCAUUCGAAGAGUACAAAGGCAGAAGGGAGCCUGACUGCGAGACCGACAGGUCGAGCAGGGACGAAAGUCGGGCUUAGUGAUCCGGCGGUAUAGAGUGGAAUUGCCGUCGCUCAACGGAUAAAAGCUACCUCGGGGAUAACAGGCUUAUCUCCCCCAAGAGUCCACAUCGACGGGGAGGUUUGGCACCUCGAUGUCGGCUCGUCGCAUCCUGGGGCUGAAGCAGGUCCCAAGGGUUUGGCUGUUCGCCAAUUAAAGCGGCACGCGAGCUGGGUUCAGAACGUCGUGAGACAGUUCGGUCCCUAUCCAUCGUGGGCGCAGGAGAUUUGAGAAGAGCUGUCCUCAGUACGAGAGGACCGGGAUGGACGCACCAAGGGUGUAUCAGUUGUCACGCCAGUGGCACAGCUGGGUAGCCAAGUGCGGAUCGGAUAAACGCUGAAGGCAUCUAAGCGUGAAGCCGACUUCAAGAUAAGAUCUCCCAUCCGCAAGGAGUAAGGCCCCAUGUAGACCACAUGGUUGAUAGGUCGCAGGUGGAAGUGCAGUAAUGUACGCAGCUGAGCGAUACUAAUAGGCCGAGGGCUUGAUCA
This 2065-nucleotide ribosomal RNA is filed under the name metagenome. Its description in RNAcentral is "bacterial LSU rRNA". It matches the Rfam family "Bacterial large subunit ribosomal RNA", at positions 831 to 2925 of the family's 2925-position model. The record is from RNAcentral.